CCAAGUCUAUAAAAAUGUCUGAUAGCUCAGAUUUGUGAAAGAACAGAUUCACCCGAUAUUAGUGCCAUGCAGAAGUAAAGUAUGGAAAAUCCGUUCAGUGGAGAAACAGCCUUAUAGCAGGAUUGAGUAGAUUUACCAUUUUUGGAAUUUGAACAAAAUAAACAGAUAACGAGAAGAGGUUGACUCAACACGAAAGGCUCUUUUAAAGAAGAGGUUUGUUUUGAGGAGGAGCUUGAAAGAACAUGGUGGUGGCUUUUUCCUGCCUAUGAUAUUGGCCUGUUGCAUGACCUAAGUCCAGAAACUCCAUGAACAAAGCUUUAUGCCUGGCAUUUUGGGACUUCUGCAGCCACUCUAGGACAGACCCUGGAAGGUGCAGACACAUUCAAAAAAAAGUUUCCAAUACAUUAAGGUCCCCACUGCAGACCCCUUGCUGGUGUCCAUGCAAGAAAGUGGCAUAGAGCUCCUGGACCAGGGUGCCACUCAGCCCCUUUCCAACAGCAAAGAUGGCCCAGAAUCUGGACUCAUCACUUAAAAAUCAAAACAUUCCUAGCCUCUGCAUUAUUGGAUCCUUCUGACAAAGCACAGCCAGAGGGGUGCUCAGAGCAUGUGUAACACUGAUGGCUGGAAACAUUUAUGUCCACAUAGAGAAAGGCCUACUGCCUAGGAGACUGUGGGUGUGUAAUAUCAUGCCCUUGGUCCAUGGCUGAAGCUGCAGAGAUGAUGCAGAUCACCAGUGGGCACCCUGCAAAAUUCAGAGAUGGCAACAGUGUCAAAACUGCACCCGAUGCUUCCCUUCAGAAAACCAGGACCUUGGAUAGAAAAGGAAACUGGGAAAAGGCGUAAAAGAGGGCCCUAUCCCAUGGGAGGAUGAGGGCAUCUCCCAGUGAAUGUUUCCCCAGGCCAGUUCUGGAGCAGUAACGAGGACAUUUCUUGUUCCGACACAACAGUGAAGACUGGCCAGUGAGGAACAUUCAUUGGCCAUCGGCAGUGGAACCAAGUGGUGGUGGGAGUCACGGCUCAUGCAGCCAAUUAAAGAACAUUUGGAGAAUGAUAAGAAGAGAGUUAACCAAUAAGAGUGUUUGUUUUCUCCAAGGACUUCCAUUAUCUAACAGAGUCACUGAUUAGCGGGCAUGUUCCAUAAACACCAGCUGUUCUCCCUGGGAUUUUCUCCAAAGCAACUGACAAAGCUAUAAAUGGAUUUGAUAUAUCUAACCUUUCACACAGAGGCAAAGUGGGGAGAAGUUUUAACUAAUUAAUCUAGAGUUUGCUCCCCCAAUACAAUGGAGACCAUGUUACCCAAGAAUGUGUAUCCAGAGACACUUUGAAGAAAAUUCAUUAGAAGAAGAUUUUUUUAAAAGGAAAAGAAUGUGAGGAGCAGAAUAAAAAGGUCAUGCUGAAAAAAUGUAAAGUAGGAGCAGCUGAAACAUGUAAAUUAAUGGCAUUGCUACUGCCAAGGCCUGCAGUGUGGAACAGGUAUUAAAUAUUCCAAUUAUGACUGCAGUAGGUUUGUAUUAUUGUUAUAAUUGGUUUUGAGUUAGCUUCCAAAUGAAUCCGUGGAGAAAAGAUAAUGCCUAUUUUAAAAUAUUUUUGAAAUUAUCCAUAAUGAUAUAGGUAUUCUGUUCUUUGUUAUCUUUUCUCAUGCCUCCUUUUGUCCCAGUAUAUCACUUUCUUUUCUUCUUCUAAUUGUGGAGCUUUGCCAAGCAUCAUUCACAUGUCUCCAAAACAAUGAGAGCAAGAUAUCUUUUGUCUUGUGUAAAGAGUUUUGAAUAAGAUAGGCGUAGUGGGCUGUUUUUAUUCACUUUGCCAUGCAUGCAGCUCAUAUUUUGGAUCCUGCAUUUGAAAAGUUGUGAAUUGACCUGUUCAGUAUUCCUGAAUCCUACGAUCACAUUUUUAGUCUUAAAUCUGGGUUCUUAUGUAGCACCUUUCACAUAAGGAUGUCAAAGCGUAUUACAAUCAUCAGCUAAUGAAAUCUCCUGAACUGUUAUAUCCAUUUCACAGGUGGGGAAAUAGGGGGGUAAAGGGUGAUGUUCCCAAUGUCACAAAAUGAGUAACCAGAAUAGAACACGUGGGUAUUGCAAGAGCCCCACUUAAUCUGUUAUUGGCUUUAUGACUAAGGAUCAGAUCCAGCUCACAGAGAAGUCAAAGGAAUUGAUUUCAUUUGCUUCUAGGGGAUUUGGAUUAGGAUCUAUAUACUUCAAAGUAUGGUCAGAAAACUGAUGCAUCUUCCUACCUAACAGACCUGCUAUUUGCAAAACAGACUGAUCACUGUUACAGCUGCUUCCUUCUUUUGUCUAUUUCAGAGACACUUUUAAUAUGAGAGACGGCACAUCAGAUAAAUAACAUGGUACAAUGUGAUUUUAAUGCGGUCCCAAAGUUCAGCUUUAUCUACACUAUAUAAAUUUGGUGGCCAGGAUUCAUAAAUGAGCUCUUAUUGCAGGUUUAAAAAAAGAUGAGGAGGAGAUUGUUAUUAAACACUUACCCCAU
Chrysemys picta bellii (western painted turtle) is the source of this 2484-nucleotide non-coding RNA. The record is from RefSeq and is a predicted model, not a curated record. Lineage: Eukaryota; Metazoa; Chordata; Testudines; Emydidae.